This 350-nucleotide unclassified non-coding RNA is filed under the name plant metagenome. RNAcentral describes it as "partial contains 5.8S ribosomal RNA, internal transcribed spacer 2, and large subunit ribosomal RNA". The stretch from base 1 to 105 matches the Rfam family "5.8S ribosomal RNA", at positions 50 to 154 of the family's 154-position model. The record is from RNAcentral.
GAAAUGCGAUAAGUAAUGUGAAUUGCAGAAUUCAGUGAAUCAUCGAAUCUUUGAACGCAUCUUGCGCUCCUUGGUAUUCCGAGGAGCAUGCCUGUUUGAGUGUCAUGGAAUUCUCAACUCUAUUUGCUUUUGUGAAUAGAGCUUGGAUUUGGAGGUUUAUUGCUGGUACUUGUGAUCGGCUCCUCUUGAAUGCAUUAGCUCGAACCUUUGCGGAUCAGCUAUCGGUGUGAUAAUUGUCUACGCCGUUGCAGUGAAGCAUAUCAAUGGGCUCGGCUUCCAAUCGUCCUUUACUGGACAAUGACUUUGACCUUUGACCUCAAAUCAGGUAGGAUUACCCUCUGAACUUAAGC